CAGGGAUUGCCCCAGUAACGGCGAGUGAAGCGGCAACAGCUCAAAUUUGAAAUCUGGCCCCGGGCCCGAGUUGUAAUUUGCAGAGGAUGCUUUUGGUGACGCGCCUACCGAGUCCCCUGGAACGGGGCGCCACAGAGGGUGAGAGCCCCGUAUGGUUUGACGCCGAGCCUCUGUAAAGCUCCUUCGACGAGUCGAGUAGUUUGGGAAUGCUGCUCUAAAUGGGAGGUAAAUUUCUUCUAAAGCUAAAUACCGGCCAGAGACCGAUAGCGCACAAGUAGAGUGAUCGAAAGAUGAAAAGCACUUUGAAAAGAGGGUUAAAUAGCACGUGAAAUUGUUGAAAGGGAAGCGCUCGUGACCAGACUUGCGCCGGGCGGAUCAUCCAGCGUUCUCGCUGGUGCACUCCGCCCGGCUCAGGCCAGCAUCGGUUUUCGCCGGGGGACAAAAGCACCGGGAAUGUGGCUCCCCUCGGGGAGUGUUAUAGCCUGGGGCGCAAUACCCCGGCGGGGACCGAGGACCGCGCUUCGGCAAGGAUGCUGGCGUAAUGGUCAUCAGCGACCCGUCUUGAAACACGGACCGAGGAGUCAAGCAUUAGUGCGAGUGUUUGGGUGUAAAACCCGCACGCGUAAUGAAAGUGAACGUAGGUGAGAGCUUCGGCGCAUCAUCGACCGAUCCUGAUGUUUUCGGAUGGAUUUGAGUAGGAGCAUUAACGCUUGGACCCGAAAGAUGGUGAACUAUACUUGAAUAGGGUGAAGCCAGAGGAAACUCUGGUGGAGGCUCGCAGCGGUUCUGACGUGCAAAUCGAUCGUCAAAUUUGAGUAUAGGGGCGAAAGACUAAUCGAACCAUCUAGUANCUGGUACGCA
This 861-nucleotide ribosomal RNA is filed under the name Magnaporthiopsis poae. RNAcentral describes it as "LSU rRNA". It matches the Rfam family "Eukaryotic large subunit ribosomal RNA", at positions 69 to 960 of the family's 3401-position model. The record is from RNAcentral. Lineage: Eukaryota; Fungi; Ascomycota; Sordariomycetes; Magnaporthales; Magnaporthaceae.